RNAcentral lists this ribosomal RNA (235 nucleotides) under uncultured bacterium. RNAcentral's name for it is "partial 16S ribosomal RNA". It matches the Rfam family "Bacterial small subunit ribosomal RNA", at positions 99 to 334 of the family's 1533-position model. The record is from RNAcentral.
CGGACGGGUGAGUAACGCGUGGGUAACCUGCCUCACACUGGGGGACAACAGUUAGAAAUGACUGCUAAUACCGCAUAAGCGCACAGGAUCGCAUGGUCCGGUGUGAAAAACUCCGGUGGUGUGAGAUGGACCCGCGUUUGAUUAGCUAGUUGGUGGGGUAACGGCCUACCAAGGCGACGAUCAAUAGCCGACCUGAGAGGGUGACCGGCCACAUUGGGACUGAGACACGGUCCAG